GAUGAACGCUGGCGGCGUGCCUAAUACAUGCAAGUCGAGCGAACAGACGAGGAGCUUGCUCCUUUGACGUUAGCGGCGGACGGGUGAGUAACACGUGGGUAACCUACCUAUAAGACUGGGAUAACUUCGGGAAACCGGAGCUAAUACCGGAUAAUAUUUCGAACCGCAUGGUUCGAUAGUGAAAGAUGGCUCUGCUAUCACUUAUAGAUGGACCUGCGCCGUAUUAGCUAGUUGGUAAGGUAACGGCUUACCAAGGCAACGAUACGUAGCCGACCUGAGAGGGUGAUCGGCCACACUGGAGCUGAGACACGGUCCAGACUCCUACGGGAGGCAGCAGUAGGGAAUCUUCCGCAAUGGGCGAAAGCCUGACGGAGCAACGCCGCGUGAGUGAUGAAGGUCUUCGGAUCGUAAAACUCUGUUAUUAGGGAAGAACAAACGUGUAAGUAACUGUGCACGUCUUGACGGUACCUAAUCAGAAAGCCACGGCUAACUACGUG
Molecule: ribosomal RNA, 497 nt
Filed under: uncultured bacterium
Lineage: Bacteria
Description: partial 16S ribosomal RNA
Rfam family: Bacterial small subunit ribosomal RNA
Source: RNAcentral